AUGAGCUUCUCCAUACCAUAUACCUAGCAACCCGAAAACAGAGUCCUAGAUUAUUCCCCAAAACGCCACCACCCAAUAAUAUACCUCUACCUGUCUACCGCCAUUACCGCAGCAGCAAGCAGACGCUGCAGACGGCAUCGCCAGGUCCCCCACCGGAGAGUCGAGAGGAGCAGGCGAGCAACACUCCAGUCCAGCAGGCAGCCCGCACUCCGCAACAACCUUUCAUUUUUGUCUCGUGUCAAACUAUCGAUUUUGAGGUUAAGCAAUUAGCAAACCCUUUGUGAAUUGAUAUGGGUUUUGAAUCGGAUGUCUGGAUCGGAGAACAAUUCUCAAUUUCUCAUCUUAAAGUUGAAUCACCGAUUCAUUAGUCAUUACUUCAAAAAUCAGGAAUUAGACUAUUAGAGCAUAAACACCAUUUGUUAGAGGCUAUUACAUUUACGGGAUGGACUGAUGGAGCCUGGAGGCUGGAGGGAUCUGCAAAUAAGUUGUAAUUUAGGAUAAUUCGCUGGUGAUUUCUGUGCUUUAUUUCGAAAGGAUUCCUACUUUCAUGUGGGGAUUAAUUAAUUUCCAUUUAAAUAACAACUCCUAAAAUUAUGGGGCUUUAUUUCAAAUUA
Olea europaea var. sylvestris is the source of this 614-nucleotide long non-coding RNA. RefSeq lists it as uncharacterized. The record is from RefSeq and is a predicted model, not a curated record. Lineage: Eukaryota; Viridiplantae; Streptophyta; Magnoliopsida; Lamiales; Oleaceae. The transcript is spliced from 2 exons.